GCCGAUUUAGCUCAGUGGUAGAGCGCACGCUUCACACGCGUGAUGUCAGAAGUUCAAAUCUUCUAAUCGGCACCA
RNAcentral lists this transfer RNA (75 nucleotides) under Pyrinomonadaceae bacterium. RNAcentral describes it as "tRNA-Val". It matches the Rfam family "tRNA". Rfam says of the family: Transfer RNA (tRNA) molecules are approximately 80 nucleotides in length. Their secondary structure includes four short double-helical elements and three loops (D, anti-codon, and T loops). Lineage: Bacteria; Pseudomonadati; Acidobacteriota; Blastocatellia; Blastocatellales; Pyrinomonadaceae. The record is from RNAcentral.